Molecule: non-coding RNA, 32 nt
Filed under: Mus musculus (house mouse)
Lineage: Eukaryota; Metazoa; Chordata; Mammalia; Rodentia; Muridae
Source: RNAcentral
UACCCUUUAAGGAUUGAGGAUUAUUGCAUGUC